RNAcentral lists this ribosomal RNA (507 nucleotides) under uncultured soil bacterium. Its description in RNAcentral is "bacterial SSU rRNA". It matches the Rfam family "Bacterial small subunit ribosomal RNA", at positions 26 to 540 of the family's 1533-position model. The record is from RNAcentral.
AGAUUGAACGCUGGCGGCAUGCCUUACACAUGCAAGUCGAACGGCAGCACGGGGGGUAACCCCUGGUGGCGAGUGGCGAACGGGUGAGUAAUAUAUCGGAACAUGCCCUGUAGCGGGGGAUAACGCGUCGAAAGAUAUGCUAAUACCGCAUACGCUCUACGGAGGAAAGCGGGGGUCGCAAGACCUCGCACUAUAGGAGUGGCCGAUAUCGGAUUAGCUAGUUGGCGGGGUAAAAGCCCACCAAGGCGACGAUCCGUAGCUGGUCUGAGAGGAUGAUCAGCCACACUGGAACUGAGACACGGUCCAGACUCCUACGGGAGGCAGCAGGUGGGAAUUUUGGACAAUGGGCGCAAGCCUGAUCCAGCCAUGCCGCGUGAGUGAAGAAGGCCGUUCGGUUGUAAAGCGUCCUUCGGCAGGAACGAAAGUGGUUCGUGUUAAUACCGACGGACUGAGUCGACGGUACCUAGAACGUAAGAACGGACCACCGGACUAAACGUACCGUGACCG